This 1166-nucleotide long non-coding RNA is filed under the name Mytilus galloprovincialis (Mediterranean mussel). Lineage: Eukaryota; Metazoa; Mollusca; Bivalvia; Mytilida; Mytilidae. The record is from RNAcentral.
GAGAAAACGGCGGAUAGCAAAAAGCAUAUUGUACGGCAAAAAGCAUAUUGCACGGUUAUUUUUAGAAAAUAUAAAAACCGAUAAACUUUGUGACGUCAUGUAUUGAAUUUCAGGAUAUUGUUAAACGAUCUUAACGUUUUGAAACAGAUGAUAUCUGUGAUCGAUUAUUUGACGGAAAAAAUCUUCAAAUACUUAAGAUGACAAACAAACAAAAAAAAGCAAUUGAAAUAACAACUAAUAUUUUGUAUUGUUAAGGAGACAAUAUGAUAUCUAUAAAAUUCCAACAACAAAUCAAUGAAUGACGAUUUUGAUACAAAAUAUAUGGUCGGAAAUUAAUAAUAUAACAAAUAUAGCCUUUGUAUGAGGUCAAUACAGGAUAUAUCGACCCAAAGAAGUAUAUCGACCUCGGACUACGUUCUCAGUCAAUAUACUUCUUUCAGGUCAAUAUAUCCUUUUAUCAUAUGUUUAGUAGUAAAUACAGUAGUUUUGCAUGUUUGAUAAAUAGCCUGCUGUUUAAUCCGUAUCGCGCAACUUUGGUGCGCACCCUUUAUCGCAUACCCUUUAUCACACCCUUACCCUUUAUCGCAUACCCUUUAUCACACCCCUACCCUUUAUCACACCCCUACUUUUUAUUUUUUUUAUUUUUUUACAUAAAGUCAGUUUUGGAUAUUUUUUUUGCUUAUGAAAAAUUUUCCUCAAAAUUUUGUUUAAUGACGUCAUUGUUUGGUAUGUGACGUCACGAACGUCGUUUUCAUAUUGUAUGUGACGUCACGAACGUCGUUUUCAUAUUGUAUGUGACGUCACGAACGUCAAGUUUUCAUAUUUUUGGCACACUAAAUGCAACUAUAAAAAAUACAAAAAUAAACAAAGUAUUUUUAAAACAACAGCACGCAAAUUGUAAGGUAACCAAGGUGCUUCGGAUUAGUAAUUGAGCAGUUCUUUUAAGGCCUUUGAAACAAGACAGAAGUAGAACUGAAGGUAACCCAGUGCUAUGGAACAGAAAACAGUUCAUAUAAUACUCUUCUGUUGAAACAUAUGAUAAAGCGUAUAAUACAUGGCAAAAUCCGUAUCAUAUUUCGUAUCAUCCCGAGACAUCAAUAUCAGCUCGUUUAAUCCAUGCGUCGUUCGGUCACGCGUUGUCUUAUUUUUGAUAUACAAAUACGGCG